GGCUGGACUCGUACUUCGGUACUGGAGAAACAGCC
RNAcentral lists this unclassified non-coding RNA (35 nucleotides) under unclassified sequences. RNAcentral describes it as "Aptamer that binds to HIV-1 Rev93". The record is from RNAcentral. RNAcentral also lists the same sequence under 1 other name.